Molecule: ribosomal RNA, 460 nt
Filed under: uncultured bacterium
Lineage: Bacteria
Description: partial 16S ribosomal RNA
Rfam family: Bacterial small subunit ribosomal RNA
Source: RNAcentral
CCUACGGGAGGCAGCAGUGAGGAAUAUUGGUCAAUGGUCGUAAGCCUGAACCAGCCAAGUAGCGUGCAGGAUGACGGCCCUAUGGGUUGUAAACUGCUUUUAUGGGGGGAUAAAUUGCGGCACGUGUGCUGUUUUGUAUGUACCGCAUGAAUAAGGACCGGCUAAUUCCGUGCCAGCAGCCGCGGUAAUCCGGAGGUUCCGGGCGUUAUCCGGAUUUAUUGGGUUGAAAGGGAGCGUAGACGGAUUGUUAAGUCUGCAGUGAAAUGCCGGGGCUCAACCGUGGAACUGCGGUGCAAACUGGCAUGCUUGAGUGCAGGGAAGGUAGGCGGAAUUCGUGGUGUAGCGGUGAAAUGCUUAGAUAUCACGAAGAACUCCGAUGGCGAAGGCAGCUUACGGCAGCGCAACUGACGCUGAGGCUCGAAGGCGUGGGUAUCAAACAGGAUUAGAUACCCUAGUAGUC